CCUAGGCACCUAACGAACACACAUAUUCUUUUCCAUUCACACUUUGACACAGUCACAUGUUGCUCUUGCCUGAUCCCCUUUCUCUCCGCUCACUCCUAGAUUGCUGCCGCUGGAUAGCUCCCAUCAGCUUGCUGCACUAAUUCGGUGCCCUGAGCUUGCUCGUCCUCAUUUGUAGCGACCCCCACCGCUCGAUUCGCUGGAUCGGCCAUAGGGUGACCUCCGACGGUGGCUGGUUUGUCUCGUGAACGGCGAUGGAGGGGGUAGUAGGGCCAAGGUGGAGCUGCACAAGGGAGGAGGCGAGAUCGUCGAUCUGCAAGGUGAUGUUACUCUCGGCGUCGGUGCAGGUGAUGUUGGUGUGGAUUUAGUCUCCCGCAGCCAGUUUGAUCCAUUUUAGUAUGAGGAUGCUGUAGACGUUUUCUGCGCCUAGAGCGCCAGCCAGAUGCAUCCUCCACAUCUCCAACAUUCUUCGAAGUUCGACCUGCAGGAUUGUUUGCAGUGCAAGGUAAAUAGGUGGCUCUCUGAAUGGUGGCAAGCAACGUUUCCCUGUUGGUACCAUAGUCCCAAAGAUGGCAUGCUUUUCGCUCUACCUAUCGUUCUUUCGUCGUACCAAAAAAUUCCACCCCAUCAUUCACACUUGUAUCUUGUUUUUUCGAAGUCCCAAGUUUCCAUACCAUUCCUUUCCAAUGUCCUGUCCAAGUUUCUGAAUUUACCAUCAAUUUUAAUAUUAGUAAUGUCUCGUAUUGUUGAUACUGAAAAAAGUAUUUGGGGUUUGUUUCUUUCAUGUACAUUUUUUUGUUACUUUUAGUAAUGUACACUUUUUAUUAGUUUUAGUCAUGUACAUGUACAUAACAUAAAUGAGGUUCAUGAAUGUCCAGAUUUUAGAUGUUGAUUGUAUUUUGUUCUUGCUUACCUCAUAGUCUCACCAGUCCGGCUGAUUAGUGCUUUUUUUUGUCGAUUGUUCUGCAACCCUCUUGCUUUGUAUUUUUCUUUUCUAUGUAGUCUUGCCUCUUUAGCUUUGUCUGUUGAGUUAAUUGCCCUCCAUAAACAUAAAUACCAAUUAGUAGAAGUAAGAUAUGGAAUUUUCUUCAUAAGAAAUUUAUUACUCGUGGCGGUGGUCAAUGUACAUGACAUUGUUCCUUAUGGCAAUGAAACAUUUUUUCCCUUAGUAUUGGUUUAGAUAGAGUGCAUGGGUAUGUUUUAUCAUGAUUUUAUUGAAAGCAUACUUCAUAGCUAUAGGUAGAACUAAAUGUAACAUGUUUUUGUGAUUUAAUAGCACAAUUUAAAUUAGCUACACUUGAAUAUAUGGAAAUGCAUGGGCGAUGGACUUUAUAACCACUUGUUCACGGUAAAAUGUGUAGGAUAUAAUUUUAGUACAUCAAAUCCAUUGAGUUAAUGAAGGAAUAUUUUUAUGGUAAAAAAGAUCGGUGGACAAAGAUAGAAGAAUUGAUGUGCAAAGCAUAAGCAAGGUACAUAAUUUGCUUCAUGUAUACUAUACUACCAAGUGUGCAUCAUUAGUGGUAAAAUUUAGAACCAAAUGGAUGAUGAUACACAUAAGGGUAAAACUUUGUGAAUAUUUUCUUACUUCACGUGGAUCAAAGGUUGUUCUUUUGGUGUAGCUGUUUAGUGUGGGACAUCCCUAUGCAUGAUUGAAGGCUGUCUAUUUUUCUUGUCUCGCUUGUUUCAUUCUCCUCCUCUUGUGCCUAAUUAGAAUUGUUGCCUUUUUAGUUGUAACAUUCUUGAGAUACCACAGAUAAAAGGUUCACGAUUAGUGAUGGAUCAUCUUGUUGGAUUGCAUAUUGGAUUUGUUUUAGCCACCUUGGCAGGUUUCUCAAAUUCCUUGCUAUAGGGCCCACCUUUUUUAUUUUCAUUGAUUAUUCCUACACAACAGAGAAUGCAAAUAUAAAGUUAAAGAGGAUGACUUUAUAAUAUCAUUAUAGAUUGUCGUAGACCCAGAAUUUAUGUUUUUUAGGGUGAUGGACGACUAUGAAGCUCAAUGGCAAUGUGCCCGCUGUUCUUUGGAUAGGCGAGUACCUUGCUCUGCCGCUUGAGACCUGGGCCAGCCGGCCCUGCUUGUCCCAAUGGUGGGGCCACCACUGAUUUCAGACUAAUUCUCAAGUUUAUGAAGAUUCAUUAUUUUUAUUACUUCUCACCUUGCUAAUAUCUGUUUGUCUUAGAAGUAAAGGAGACCAACUUUCUGCAGAAAUCUUUAAUGAUAAAGAUGAUCUUAAGUUCCAAUCAUCACGUGAAGACACAAAUAUUGAGUAUUUCUUAGUUGCGGCCGGACGAAGCCAUCUCUACCUGAUCAAUGAGGUCAGAGUUGAAACAGACCCACAAGACAGAACUCAGCUCUGGAUAGGUCUUCGGGAGCUGAGUUAUUUUACCUCAGUUUACCCCCUUUUAGCAGCCACCAUUAAUUUUUCCUGGCACUCCUUUUGAACAUUGUUGAAAGAAAUCAGCAGCUGCCAUUAUUUUACAUCAGUUUACCCCCCUUUUAGCAAAAACAGACAACUCAUUGUCUCGCUACUCCUAAUUUUUUAUUGUGCUUUUGUGUAGGAGAAAUUGAUCCUUAGACUACAAAAACAACAGAACAUCAGGGAUGAUAUUCAGGUUGACAUAUCUGAAAAGAGCCCAAGAAUACUACAAAUGGGUUCGACAUGGGUUGAACAUAGGGGUUCUUGGCCUGAGCAUGCAAGUGUAUGGCCGGGACAAUCGUUACGUGAUUAAUAUGUUGGGAAAAUCAGUAAUGGUCGAGCAAACCGAAAAGGAGAGGCUGAAUCUUCUCCCGCAAAGUUACUGGUCAAGAUACUAUGUCGAAUGCGACAUUGCUACAGUAUUCCAAAAGGCAUUUGAAACUCCAAUGGCGUUAUCUGUUCACCUGAGGGAGAGAAUGAUAGGGUUCCAGCUUGACCGAAUUGACAUCGUAUUUUUGUAGUCCAACAUACGAGCCAUAUAAUUCUAUAGCCUCCAUGCAAAUCCCAUUUCUUUUCAAUUUUCAGUCAGAAGUCAACAUAAAUUUUUUGUGGUAGUAUCGUUUUAUUUUUGGAUCAAUGAACAGGGCUUUUUUCCCCACCUUUAAGCUCAUAUGGCUUUUGGUA
This is a long non-coding RNA of Triticum aestivum (bread wheat), 3095 nucleotides long. RefSeq lists it as uncharacterized. NCBI's taxonomy places the organism in Eukaryota, Viridiplantae, Streptophyta, Magnoliopsida, Poales, Poaceae. The transcript is spliced from 5 exons. The record is from RefSeq and is a predicted model, not a curated record.